RNAcentral lists this long non-coding RNA (1877 nucleotides) under Callithrix jacchus (white-tufted-ear marmoset). RNAcentral's name for it is "lncRNA (ENSCJAG00000072680.1)". The record is from RNAcentral. Lineage: Eukaryota; Metazoa; Chordata; Mammalia; Primates; Cebidae.
CACACUUGUUGGCUGGUCAACACUGUUGACUAAAGGGAGGGCAUUUUUUUAAAUUGCAUUUUAAGUUUUGGGGUACAUGUGAAGAACAUGCAAGAUAGUUGCAUAGGUACACACGUGCAGUGUGAUUUGAUGCCUUCCUCCCCUUCACCUAUUUACACUCCCACCAACAGUGUAAAAGUGUUUCUUUUUCUCCACAUCCUCUCCAGCAUCUGUUGUCUCCAGAUUUUUUAAUGAUCGCCAUUCUAACUGGCGUGAGAUGGUAUCUCAAUGUGGUUUUGAUUUGCAUCUCUCUGAUGAGCAUUUUUUCAUAUGAUUGUUGGCCUCAUAUAUGUCUUCUUUCGUAAAGUAUCUGUUCAUAUCCUUUGCCCACUUUUGAAUGGGCUUUUUUGUUUUUUCCUGUAAAUCUGCUUGAGCUCUUUGUAAAUUCUGGAUAUCAGCCCUUUGUCAGAUGGGUAGACUGCGAAAAGUUUUUCCCAUUCCGUUGGUUGCCGAUCCACUCUAGUGACUGUUUCUUUUGCCGUGCAGAAGCUGUGGAGUUUCAUUAGGUCCCAUUUGUCUAUUUUGGCUUUUGUUGCCAAUGCUUUUGGUGUUUUGUUCAUGAAGUCCUUGCCUACUCCUAUGUCCUGGAUAGUUUUGCCUAGAUUUCCUUCUAGGGUUUUUAUGGUGCCAGGUCUUAUGUUUAAGUCUUUAAUCCAUCUGGAGUUAAUUUUAGUGUAAGGUGUCAGGAAGGGGUCCAGUUUCUGCUUUCUGCACAUGGCUAGCCAGUUUUCCCAACACCAUUUGUUAAACAUGGAAUCCUUGCCCCAUUGCUUGUUUUUGUCAGGUUUAUCAAAGAUUGUAUAGUUGUAUGUAUGUUGUGUUGCCUCCGUUGCCUCUGUUUUGUUCCAUUGGUCUAUAUCUCUGUUUUGGUACCAGUACCAUGCUGUUUUGAUUACUGUAGCCUUGUAGUAUAGUUUGAAAUCCGGUAGUGUGAUGCCCCCCGCUGUGUUCUUUUUGCUUAGAAUUGACUUGGCUAUGCGGGCUCUCUUUUGGUUCCAUAUGAAGUUCAUGGUGGUUUUUCCAGUUCUGUGAAGAAAGUCAAUGGUAGCUUGAUGGGGAUAGCAUUGAUUCUGUAAAUUACUUUGGUCAGUAUAGCCAUUUUCACGAUAUUAAUUCUUCCUAACCAUGAACAUGGAAUGUUUCUCCAUCUGUUUGUGUCCUCUCUAAUUUUGUUGAGCAGUGGUUUGUAGUUCUCCUUGAAGAGGUCCCUUACGUUCCUUGUGAGUUGUAUUCCAAGGUAUUUUAUUCUUUUUGUAGCAAUUGCGAAUGGCAGUUAGCUCUUGAUUUGGAUUUCUUUAAGUCUGUUAUUGGUGUAUAGGAAGGCUUGUGAUUUUUGCACAUUGAUUUUAUAUCCUGAGACUUUGCUGAAGUUGUUUAUCAGUUUCAGGAGUUUUUGGGCUGAGGCAAUGGGGUCUUCUAGGUAUACUAUCAUGUCGUCUGGAAAUAGAGACAAUUUGACUUCCACCUUUCCUAUUUGAAUACCCUUUAUUUCUUUUUCUUGCCUGAUUGCUCUGGCUAGAACUUCCAGUACUAUAUUGAAUAGGAGUGGUGAGAGAGGGCAUCCUUGUCUAGUGCCAGAUUUCAAAGAGAAUGCUUCCAGUUUUUGCCCAUUCAGUAUGAUAUUGGCUGUUGGUUUGUCAUAAAUAGCUUUUAUUACUUUGAGAUACGUUCCAUCGAUACCGAGUUUAUUGAGGGUUUUUAGCAUAAAGGGCUGUUGAAUUUUGUCAAAUGCCUUCUCUGCGUCAAUUGAGAUAAUCAUGUGGUUUUUGUUUUUGGUUCUGUUUAUGUGGUGAAUUAAGUUUAUAGACUUGCGUAUGUUGAACCAGCCUUGCAUCCUC